AAUAGUGCUAAUGUUGCAAAUAUGUUGGUUCCAUAAAACAACAUUUUUCUAUACUUUUUUCUUCCAGAAGUGUUUCUAUUGCUCCUUGCUGCUGCUGUUCUGUGAUCCAGUGAGUGAUGAAUGUGUCCUAAAGGUCUGCAGGAAGUCUAUAACAAAGAUUUUUAUGGAAUGUGGAUGUGAAAGAUACCAUGAUAGUGGCAAGAUUCCAUAAGUCUCUGAAAGGAAGAAGGAAAGCAUCCAAAUGGUUCACAUGGAAAGGAGCAAAUGUCCAGGCAAUCUUAGUUAUCCAAGGAACUGGAAUUGCACCCAGAAAUAUACAAGCAAUUAACUCCCCUUCUAUUCUGGCUCACUACUUCAUCUCUGAACGCUUUGUUGGCUCAUUUACAAUGGUGACAGGCAGCUUUAAUUAAGACAUAAAACUUGAAGUGGUUCUAAUUAUUGGUUUCUAAUUACUGGAUUUUUCCCUGGUUCCUUCCUUUUUCUUUUUUUUUUCUUUUUCCUUUUUUCUUUCUUUCUUUCUUUCUUUCUUUAUUUAUU
RNAcentral lists this long non-coding RNA (537 nucleotides) under Phasianus colchicus (ring-necked pheasant). RNAcentral describes it as "lncRNA (ENSPCLG00000010440.1)". Lineage: Eukaryota; Metazoa; Chordata; Aves; Galliformes; Phasianidae. The record is from RNAcentral.